UACUUAGUGGCAGACGGGUGAGUAACAUGUGGGUAUCUACCCUUUGGCCUGGAAUAACACGAGGAAACUUGUGCUAAUACCGGAUAAGUCUUUACGGAGAAAGCUUUAUGCACCAUUGGAUGAGCCCGCACUUGAUUAGUUUGUUGGUAGGGUAAUGGCCUACCAGGACUAUGAUCAAUAGCUGAUUUGAGAGGAUGAUCAGCCACAUUGGGACUGAGACACGGCCCAAACUCCUACGGGAGGCAGCAGUGGGGAAUCUUGCGCAAUGGAGGAAACUCUGAUGCAGCGAUGCCGCGUGAGUGAAGAAGGCCUUUGGGUUGUAAAGCUCUUUCGUCGGGGAAGAAAAUGACUGUACCCGAAUAAGAAGGUCCGGCUAACUUCGUGCCAGCAGCCGCGGUAAUACGAAGGGACCUAGCGUAGUUCGGAAUUACUGGGCUUAAAGAGUUCGUAGGUGGUUGAAAAAGUUGGUGGUGAAAUCCCAGAGCUUAACUCUGGAACUGCCAUCAAAACUUUUCAGCUAGAGUGUGAUAGA
RNAcentral lists this ribosomal RNA (532 nucleotides) under uncultured Pelagibacterales bacterium. RNAcentral describes it as "bacterial SSU rRNA". It matches the Rfam family "Bacterial small subunit ribosomal RNA", at positions 89 to 655 of the family's 1533-position model. The record is from RNAcentral. Lineage: Bacteria; Pseudomonadati; Pseudomonadota; Alphaproteobacteria; Candidatus Pelagibacterales.